UUCCGGUUCAUCCCGCGGGACUGACUGCUAUCGGAUGAUACUAAGCCAUGCGAGUCUUUGUAGUAAUACAAGGCAGACGGCUCAGUAACACGUAGUCAACCUACCCUAUGGACAAGAAUAAUCUCGGGAAACUGGGCAUAAUUCUUGAUAGAUCAUAAUGCCUGGAAUGGUCUAUGGUUAAAAUGAUUCGUCGCCAUAGGAUGGGACUGCGGCCUAUCAGCUUGUUGGUGAGGUAAUGGCCCACCAAGGCGAUUACAGGUACGGGCUCUGAGAGGAGAAGCCCGGAGAUGGGUACUGAGACACGGACCCAGGCCCUAUGGGGCGCAGCAGGCGAGAAAACUUUGCAAUGUGCGAAAGCACGACAAGGUUAAUCCGAGUGAUUUCUGCUAAAGAAAUCUUUUGCCAGUCAUAAAACCACUGGUGAAUAAGGGGUGGGCAAGUUCUGGUGUCAGCCGCCGCGGUAAAACCAGCACCUCAAGUGGUCAGGAUGAUUAUUGGGCCUAAAGCAUCCGUAGCCGGCUUUGUAAGUUUUCGGUUAAAUCCAUGUGCUCAACGCAUGGGCUGCCGAAAAUACUGCAUGGCUAGGGAGUGGGAGAGGUAGACGGUACUCAGUAGGAAGGGGUAAAAUCCUUUGAUCUAUUGAUGACCACCUGUGGCGAAGGCGGUCUACCAGAACACGUUCGACGGUGAGGGAUGAAAGCUGGGGGAGCAAACCGGAUUAGAUACCCGGGUAGUCCCAGCUGUAAACGAUGCAGACUCGAUGAUGCAUUGGCAUAAUAGCUAGUGCAGUGUCGCAGGGAAGCCGUUAAGUCUGCCGCCUGGGAAGUACGUACGCAAGUAUGAAACUUAAAGGAAUUGGCGGGGGAGCACCACAAAGGGGUGAAGCCUGCGGUUCAAUU
RNAcentral lists this ribosomal RNA (899 nucleotides) under uncultured marine group I thaumarchaeote. RNAcentral's name for it is "SSU rRNA". It matches the Rfam family "Archaeal small subunit ribosomal RNA", at positions 1 to 907 of the family's 1478-position model. Lineage: Archaea; Thermoproteati; Nitrososphaerota. The record is from RNAcentral.